UGUGGGAGCUGGCUUGCCUGCGAUGAGGGCGUGUCAGGCAACAGGGAUGUUGCUGACCCACCGCCAUCGCAGGCAAGCCAGCUCCCACC
This 89-nucleotide non-coding RNA is filed under the name Pseudomonas tolaasii NCPPB 2192. Lineage: Bacteria; Pseudomonadati; Pseudomonadota; Gammaproteobacteria; Pseudomonadales; Pseudomonadaceae. The record is from RNAcentral.